This is a long non-coding RNA of Haliotis rubra (blacklip abalone), 476 nucleotides long. RefSeq lists it as uncharacterized. The transcript is spliced from 3 exons. NCBI's taxonomy places the organism in Eukaryota, Metazoa, Mollusca, Gastropoda, Lepetellida, Haliotidae. The record is from RefSeq and is a predicted model, not a curated record.
CCCACGAGUGACAACUCAUGCGCAAGAUCCGUUCAUCCGGGUCACUCAUCUAAGGAACCGAACUCAAGCAGCAACAGUAACAGCAGCCUUAGUUCAUGGGUCAAGGGGAGCAGACAGCGAGUGUCCAGCGAUAGGAUUAGGUGCCGUCUUCGGCUGCUAGAAACCACUGCCAACGGCCAUAUGUGCAGCCAAUUUUGACAGGUCAACAACGCCAGCGACGUUUACAGCCCUCACACAGCAAGGGUGUCGAUGGAUUAUCUGGCUCAGAACAACUUUAAUGUUCUUCCAUGGCCGUCUCGUUCCCCGGAUAUGGCUCCCUUUGAUCAUUCUGGGACAGCAUUGGACGCAGGAUUGCUGCAUGUAGACAUCCACUCACAAUUGCACAGUUGGAACAGAUAUUGGUGUUUGGGUGGAACAACUUGCCUAAGGCAUUCUUUCAGACUCUAGUGAACUCAAUGAGGCGACGUUGCACGGCC